Molecule: ribosomal RNA, 1449 nt
Filed under: Salmonella enterica subsp. enterica serovar Virchow
Lineage: Bacteria; Pseudomonadati; Pseudomonadota; Gammaproteobacteria; Enterobacterales; Enterobacteriaceae
Description: partial 23S ribosomal RNA
Rfam family: Bacterial large subunit ribosomal RNA
Source: RNAcentral
AGACCCGAAACCCGGUGAUCUAGCCAUGGGCAGGUUGAAGGUUGGGUAACACUAACUGGAGGACCGAACCGACUAAUGUUGAAAAAUUAGCGGAUGACCUGUGGCUGGGGGUGAAAGGCCAAUCAAACCGGGAGAUAGCUGGUUCUCCCCGAAAGCUAUUUAGGUAGCGCCUCGUGAAUUCAUCUCCGGGGGUAGAGCACUGUUUCGGCUAGGGGGCCAUCCCGGCUUACCAACCCGAUGCAAACUGCGAAUACCGGAGAAUGUUAUCACGGGAGACACACGGCGGGUGCUAACGUCCGUCGUGAAGAGGGAAACAACCCAGACCGCCAGCUAAGGUCCCAAAGUCAUGGUUAAGUGGGAAACGAUGUGGGAAGGCCCAGACAGCCAGGAUGUUGGCUUAGAAGCAGCCAUCAUUUAAAGAAAGCGUAAUAGCUCACUGGUCGAGUCGGCCUGCGCGGAAGAUGUAACGGGGCUAAACCAUGCACCGAAGCUGCGGCAGCGACACUGUGUGUUGUUGGGUAGGGGAGCGUUCUGUAAGCCUGUGAAGGUGUGUUGUGAGGCAUGCUGGAGGUAUCAGAAGUGCGAAUGCUGACAUAAGUAACGAUAAAGCGGGUGAAAAGCCCGCUCGCCGGAAGACCAAGGGUUCCUGUCCAACGUUAAUCGGGGCAGGGUGAGUCGACCCCUAAGGCGAGGCCGAAAGGCGUAGUCGAUGGGAAACGGGUUAAUAUUCCCGUACUUGGUGUUACUGCGAAGGGGGGACGGAGAAGGCUAUGUUGGCCGGGCGACGGUUGUCCCGGUUUAAGCGUGUAGGUGUGUGUUCCAGGUAAAUCCGGUUCACUUUAACACUGAGGCGUGACGACGAGGCACUACGGUGCUGAAGCAACAAAUGCCCUGCUUCCAGGAAAAGCCUCUAAGCAUCAGGUAACAUCAAAUCGUACCCCAAACCGACACAGGUGGUCAGGUAGAGAAUACCAAGGCGCUUGAGAGAACUCGGGUGAAGGAACUAGGCAAAAUGGUGCCGUAACUUCGGGAGAAGGCACGCUGACACGUAGGUGAAGUGAUUUACUCAUGGAGCUGAAGUCAGUCGAAGAUACCAGCUGGCUGCAACUGUUUAUUAAAAACACAGCACUGUGCAAACACGAAAGUGGACGUAUACGGUGUGACGCCUGCCCGGUGCCGGAAGGUUAAUUGAUGGGGUCAGCGCAAGCGAAGCUCCUGAUCGAAGCCCCGGUAAACGGCGGCCGUAACUAUAACGGUCCUAAGGUAGCGAAAUUCCUUGUCGGGUAAGUUCCGACCUGCACGAAUGGCGUAAUGAUGGCCAGGCUGUCUCCACCCGAGACUCAGUGAAAUUGAACUCGCUGUGAAGAUGCAGUGUACCCGCGGCAAGACGGAAAGACCCCGUGAACCUUUACUAUAGCUUGACACUGAACAUUGAGCCUUGAUGUGUAG